Small nucleolar RNA from Puntigrus tetrazona (Sumatra barb), 77 nucleotides. RefSeq annotates it as small nucleolar RNA SNORD103/SNORD85. The record is from RefSeq and is a predicted model, not a curated record. Lineage: Eukaryota; Metazoa; Chordata; Actinopteri; Cypriniformes; Cyprinidae. The transcript has a single exon.
GUUGGCCGUGAUGACAAACUUGCCCUCUCUGAGAACGACUCUAUUAUGAGACCCAAAAUAAACGCUCCUGAGCCAAA